AUUGAACGCUGGCGGCAUGCCUAACACAUGCAAGUCGAACGGCAGCAUGACGUGUAGCAAUACACGUUGAUGGCGAGUGGCGGACGGGUGAGGAAUGCAUCGGAAUCUGCCCAGUCGUGGGGGAUAACGUAGGGAAACUUACGCUAAUACCGCAUACGACUACGCGUUGAAAGACGCGGGGUGAAAGCGGGGAUCGAAAGACCUCGCGCGAUUGGAUGAGCCGAUGCCGGAUUAGCUUGUUGGUGGGGUAACGCCCACCAAGGCGACGAUCCGUAGCUGGUCUGAGAGGAUGAUCAGCCACAC
This 303-nucleotide ribosomal RNA is filed under the name uncultured bacterium. RNAcentral describes it as "bacterial SSU rRNA". It matches the Rfam family "Bacterial small subunit ribosomal RNA", at positions 30 to 313 of the family's 1533-position model. The record is from RNAcentral.